CCUACGGGAGGCAGCAGUGAGGAAUAUUGGUCAAUGGGCGCGAGCCUGAACCAGCCAAGUAGCGUGAAGGAUGACUGUCCUACGGGUUGUAAACCUCUUUUAUCAAGGAAUAAAGUGAGGCACGCGUGCCUUUUUGUAUGUACUUUAUGAAUAAGGAUCGGCUAACUCCGUGCCAGCAGCCGCGGUAAUACGGAGGAUCCGAGCGUUAUCCGGAUUUAUUGGGUUUAAAGGGAGCGGAGGUGGGUUGUUAAGUCAGUUGUGAAAGUUCCGGGCUCAACCGUAAACUUGCAGUUGAAACUGGCAGUCUUGAGUUGGAGAGAGGUAGGCGGAAUGCGCGGUGUAGCGGUGAAAUGCAUAGAUAUCGCGAAGAACUCCGAUUGCGAAGGCAGCAUGCCGGCUCCACACUGACGCUGAGGCACGAAAGUGUGGGUAUCGAACAGGAUUAGAUACCCGUGUAGUC
Molecule: ribosomal RNA, 460 nt
Filed under: uncultured bacterium
Lineage: Bacteria
Description: partial 16S ribosomal RNA
Rfam family: Bacterial small subunit ribosomal RNA
Source: RNAcentral